This 71-nucleotide transfer RNA is filed under the name Caudoviricetes sp. RNAcentral describes it as "tRNA-Lys". The stretch from base 13 to 71 matches the Rfam family "tRNA". Rfam says of the family: Transfer RNA (tRNA) molecules are approximately 80 nucleotides in length. Their secondary structure includes four short double-helical elements and three loops (D, anti-codon, and T loops). Lineage: Duplodnaviria; Heunggongvirae; Uroviricota; Caudoviricetes. The record is from RNAcentral.
CAGCGAUUGCAAGGGUUUGAACGACGUGACUUUUAAUCAAGUUGUCCGGGGUUCGAAUCCCCGCACGCUCA